AGGACGAACGCUGGCGGCGCGCUUAACACAUGCAAGUCGAGCGAGAACCAGACCUUCGGGUCUGGGGACAGCGGCGAACGGGUGAGUAACACGUGAGUAAUCCACCCUUGGCACCGGAAUAGCCCGGGGAAACCCGGAUUAAUGCCGGAUGGCCCGACAGCCUAUUGGGGCGGUCGGAAAAGAUAGCUUCGGCCUUCGGCCAAGGACGAGCUCGCGGCGGAUUAGCUUGUUGGCGGGGUAAAGGCCCACCAAGGCGACGAUCCGUAGCUGGUCUGAGAGGACGAUCAGCCACACUGGGACUGAGACACGGCCCAGACUCCUACGGGAGGCAGCAGUGGGGAAUCUUGCGCAAUGGGCGAAAGCCUGACGCAGCGACGCCGCGUGAGGGAAGAAGGCCUUCGGGUUGUAAACCUCUUUCAGGAGGGACGAAGCCACUCGGGUUAAUAGCCCAGAGGGUGACGGUACCUCCGAGAAGAAGCCCGGCUAACUACGUGCCAGCAGCCGCGU
This 507-nucleotide ribosomal RNA is filed under the name uncultured bacterium. RNAcentral's name for it is "SSU rRNA". It matches the Rfam family "Bacterial small subunit ribosomal RNA", at positions 26 to 520 of the family's 1533-position model. The record is from RNAcentral.